RNAcentral lists this long non-coding RNA (503 nucleotides) under Drosophila guanche. The record is from RNAcentral. Lineage: Eukaryota; Metazoa; Arthropoda; Insecta; Diptera; Drosophilidae.
GUUCGAUCGAGUCUGGCACAAAGGUUUGUUGUACAAGAUAAAGAAAUGGCUACCUGCUCCGUACUAUUUAUUAAUCAAAUCAUAUCUGGCUAGAAGAUGCUUUUACGUGCAGCAGAAAACCGAUAGUUCAUCACUACUUCUCAUCAACUCAGGCGUCCCACAAGGAAGCGUAUUGGGACCAAUUCUCUACACCCUAUAUACGGCCGACAUGCCAGUUACAAACAACUGCACUGUUGCAACAUAUGCUGAUGAUACAGCCGUUUUAGCCACAAGCACAUCUAUAAAUGAAGCUUCUGAACUCCUGCAGAGUGAGCUAAGCCUAAUUGAAGACUGGUUCCUUCGAUGGAAAAUUAGAAUAAACUCCCUGAAAUCCGUCCAAAUAACGUUUUCAUUAAGACCAGGUAACUGGCCAAAUGUUACACUUAACGGCUCACCAAUUCCACAAAGUACCUGUGUGAAGUAUCUCGGCUUGCAUCUCGACCGCAGAUUAACAUGGAAAAACC